Molecule: transfer RNA, 66 nt
Filed under: Pseudomonas mosselii
Lineage: Bacteria; Pseudomonadati; Pseudomonadota; Gammaproteobacteria; Pseudomonadales; Pseudomonadaceae
Also listed under: 1 other name
Rfam family: tRNA
About the family: Transfer RNA (tRNA) molecules are approximately 80 nucleotides in length. Their secondary structure includes four short double-helical elements and three loops (D, anti-codon, and T loops).
Source: RNAcentral
GGCGUAGCUCAGUUGGUAGAGCGCCGGAUUGUGAUUCCGGUUGUCGUGGGUUCGAUUCCCAUCGUC